Xiphophorus couchianus (Monterrey platyfish) is the source of this 87-nucleotide long non-coding RNA. RefSeq lists it as uncharacterized. The record is from RefSeq and is a predicted model, not a curated record. NCBI's taxonomy places the organism in Eukaryota, Metazoa, Chordata, Actinopteri, Cyprinodontiformes, Poeciliidae. The transcript is spliced from 3 exons.
GCUCACAGUUCCAGCAAUUUGUGAUUUUCCUUAACCCUCUCAUGCAUAAAUUAUGAUCCUUUGUGUCAGAAUUUAUUUUCCAUUUUU